AUACGGAGGGGGUUAGCGUUGUUCGGAAUUACUGGGCGUAAAGCGUACGUAGGCGGAUUGGAAAGUAUGGGGUGAAAUCCCAGGGCUCAACCCUGGAACUGCCUCAUAGACUCCCAGUCUAGAGUUCGAGAGAGGUGAGUGGAAUUCCGAGUGUAGAGGUGAAAUUCGUAGAUAUUCGGAGGAACACCAGUGGCGAAGGCGGCUCACUGGCUCGAUACUGACGCUGAGGUACGAAAGUGUGGGGAGCAAACAGGAUUAGAUACCCUUGUAGUCC
This 274-nucleotide ribosomal RNA is filed under the name uncultured bacterium. RNAcentral's name for it is "partial 16S ribosomal RNA". It matches the Rfam family "Bacterial small subunit ribosomal RNA", at positions 523 to 796 of the family's 1533-position model. The record is from RNAcentral.